GACAGAGGGUGCAAACGUUGUUCGGAAUUACUGGGCGUAAAGCGCGUGUAGGCGGCCCUGCAAGUCGGAUGUGAAAUCCCACGGCUCAACCGUGGAAGUGCACUCGAAACUGCAGGGCUAGAGUCCUGGAGAGGAAGGUGGAAUGCUUGGUGUAGGGGUGAAAUUCGUAGAUAUCAAGCGGAACACCGGUGGCGAAGGCGGCCUUCUGGACAGUGACUGACGCUGAGACGCGAAAGCGUGGGGAGCAAACAGG
RNAcentral lists this ribosomal RNA (253 nucleotides) under uncultured bacterium. RNAcentral's name for it is "partial 16S ribosomal RNA". It matches the Rfam family "Bacterial small subunit ribosomal RNA", at positions 524 to 776 of the family's 1533-position model. The record is from RNAcentral.